UCCGAUGUUCCUUCCGGAUCCGCCGUCAAUCUCAAGAAUUCCCAGGUAGCCAUCCACCCCCGCAGCUACUUUCCUCCCUCUCUUCCCUCCGCCUUCCUCUUCAAGACCUCCCUGAUCGCCGCCCUCCUCAGCUAUUUUUUUAUGAUUGAAUAUUGCUUAAAUUUUAAUUUUAAGCAAUAUCAGUGUCUUUAAUUUUACAAGUCCAGGUCGAAUCAUGCGUAUUUCCUCCAGCGAUCAACCCUCCCGGUUCCACCAAGACCUUCUUCCUCGGCGGCGCAGGGGUGAGAGGGAUGGAGAUCGAGGGGAGGUUCAUCAAAUUCACUGCAAUUGGGGUUUACCUAGAAGAUAACGUUGUACAGUCACUCGCCGUUAAGUGGAAUGGCAAGACCGCCGACGAAUUGACGGAUUCCCUCGACUUCUUCGGAGACAUCGUCACUGGUAAGGAUUCAAUUUUCAGUUUUUUUUUUUUUUUUUUUUGUUUCUUUUAAGAAAAAGUUAUUAAUCCCUAAUUGUUAAUUUUUAGAUGCCUUUGAGAAAUUCACAAACGUGACAACGAUACUGCCAUUAACUGGCAAACAAUACUCCGAGAAGGUAGCAGAAAACUGCGUCGCCUACUGG
Molecule: non-coding RNA, 618 nt
Organism: Erythranthe guttata (spotted monkey flower)
Lineage: Eukaryota; Viridiplantae; Streptophyta; Magnoliopsida; Lamiales; Phrymaceae
Source: RefSeq, a predicted model, not a curated record